RNAcentral lists this long non-coding RNA (1132 nucleotides) under Olea europaea subsp. europaea. Lineage: Eukaryota; Viridiplantae; Streptophyta; Magnoliopsida; Lamiales; Oleaceae. The record is from RNAcentral.
UUGUCUUCUCACAUUUCUCCCUCAAAUUCAAAACCCUUCCCACCCUCUCCAUUCCCAUAUCCACCUUUCUCCAUUAACGACGGCGAGAUAACACCAUCAAAAUCAUCUUCGUCUCUGACCAGCUGCAAAAUCGGUGAAGAAGAAGAAGUGUCAACAUCAAAAAUGUUCAAAUGUUGCUCCAAUCUACCACCGCCGCGAAGCAACCACCACGCCCAACUGAAGAAGACGCCUCUUUUCAUCUAUACAUCUCAAGUAAGUGUCUGACGAUUAAUCUUUGGUCAUAGGACGAAAUUUUUUGACAGCCAUGAAUUCACUGAACUCUAACACCAAACGAAAUUGUAGACAAAAUUUUCGAAAAAUAAUGGAAGGAAUUAAAUGGGUAGCUAUUGUUUCUGUAAUUAAAAGUUGAAGAAGAAGCAGGAUUGAUUAGAGAAAUCAAAUAUAUUGUAGAACUGCAAUUUGAUGUAUUGAAAUAUUCAAAAUUGAAGAACGAAAGGGAUUGACAGAUUCAAAAUUGAAGAAAAAAAUUGACAGGUUUAUUGUUGUCCAGCUCAAAUAUAUUGUGGAAUUGCAAUUUAACUAGAGUGCUAAUGUUUAUAUUAUAGAAAACAAUUUAUUACAUGAAUUGAUAAUUUCAUUUAUGUGGUUGUUCGUCAUCUCAGCAUGAGAGGAAAAAAUGUUGGAAUAUGUCAAAGUUGUCGAACCAAGUGGCACGCAUUUGAGGAAUGCACGAGAAAACGUCGUUUCCCAUGGUGUCCACAUGGAUUUCAGAAAAUGUUUCGAGGUUGAAAAAUAGACACAUAACAAAGGGCAAUUAUUUAACACUUGCAAUAACAACUGUGGAUUUUUCGACUGUAGUAACGUUAAUGAAAUGAUGACUGUUGCGGGAAAUGAGAAAGUUGAAGAUUUGCCAAGCAUGCUCGGAACACUAGAACGAAUAACCGAAGAAUGAGACAUCGAGGUGUCAUUGCAAGUGACAUUCCACAAGGGGAAAGAAUGCUUGGAAUCGAGUAGGAAAGAAAAGGGACAAGCUUGAUUAUUAGUAUUUUUGUCAAUGGAUUGUUCGAGUUGAAUUUGUAAUUUGAAGACUUGUGUGGCUUUACUACGUAUUUUGUAUCAGACUAGAAUUUAU